This is a long non-coding RNA of Equus caballus (horse), 2569 nucleotides long. RefSeq lists it as uncharacterized. NCBI's taxonomy places the organism in Eukaryota, Metazoa, Chordata, Mammalia, Perissodactyla, Equidae. The record is from RefSeq and is a predicted model, not a curated record.
UUUAAAUAUAGAAAUUCUGGAACAUUUUAUUAUAAAGGAAUAGUACUUGGAAGCUACUUAAAGAAGUAACUACAUGAGUAAAUAUGAGAAGAAGAUAAUAUGAUUAACAGUAGUAGAUCUUAAAAAGUGGUUUCUGCAGCUUUGGAAAUAUUUGCUCACCAAGACAAACAGCGAUAUAUAUUGGGCAUUUUCCCCAAGAAAUCUCAUCUUGUUCAUUUAAUCUUGUCUGCUCCUCUGAAAAUGCAAACUGAUACUGAGGAAUCAACAUGAGAACUGAACAGGACCUUUGAAAUAUCUGUCUGUGAAGAACUGGAUUUGAAAUCUAUAACAACAACUGGAGUUAGAGAAAGUUGAUAAGAACUCUACCAGAAAAUAUAAACAUGCAAACAAAUGAAUGAGGGCAUGCCCCAUGGAGGAAAAUUCAAAUCUUGCACAAGGUACCAUAGAGAGAUUGGACUUGUUUAACCUGGCGCAGUUCAGAGUGAUCGAGAGUGGAUCAGAGGAGAGAAUGGCUGCUUUAUGUGAACUGAGCCCUUCUGCCACAUUUGAAGUACAUUUCGUCUUCUGCCAGCUUGCAUCAGCUGUCAGAGGGAGCUGCAAAAUGAAAUGAAGAUGCCUUUGACUUCAAAGCAUUGAGAGAGCAAAGAAAGAUUCCUAAAUAGAACAAUGAAGAAUAGAUUUUAAAUAAACUUACCGACAUGGGAAAGGAGAUUCUUUGUGCAGUUACAAGACUAUGAUUUGGGGCCCUUUGCGUGAUUCAAGAAUAUGAUAGAGGAAGAAGAGGAAUGCUUCAUUAAUUGAAAUGUCAGUGAAUGGCCACUGAGCCAAGUGCAUAGAGAGAAAAAGUAUGUGGGUUAUGCCCUUAACAAUCUUAAAAAGCUGAUGAAGAGUUGAGCCACAAAAAUGUCCAGACGUUUCUUGCAAUCUACAAAUUGAGAUUUCUGAGGAGUUUUAUCAUACCAAAAUGACUUAAUUAUGUUCGUGUCUUCUCUUUCUCUCAGGGUUGGUUCAUUCCAGGAGCAGCGCUUCUCUGACUGCCUUUUUUCCUCCAAAUCCUUGCACUGGCAUUCCUCUUAACAAAAGGAAAUCCAAUCACAUAGCUCCAGACACCCUCUCUCUAUUUUUCCAACAUUUUGUUAUAAAAAUUUCCAAACACAUAGAAAGUAAAUAUCCAUGUAGCAACUACCUAGAUGCUACCAUUGAUAUUUUACCUAACUCAUUUUAUCACAUCUCUAACCAUCCACCAUCAAUCCAUCUUGUAAUCUUUUAAUGUAUUUCCAAGUAAAAGCAGGAAUCAUUACUUUACUGUUAAAUACUUCAGCAUGCUUAUCAUUAACUAGAGCUUAAUAUUUAUUUAUUUUUCUCUUGAAGUAAGUUUUAUAUACAAAGGAAUAUAUAUUUUCUAUUUCUAUAAAUGCAUACAUUUACAUCACCCAAACUGCUAUAAAGAUACCGGAUAUUACUAUCACCCAGAAAAUUUCCUCAUCCUUUUCCCAGUCAACACCUUACCUCCACCACCAACAGAGCAAACUACUGUCUUGACUUUUUUCCAUAGAAAUUAGUUUUCCCUGUUUUAGAACUUGACAUAAAAUGGAAUCACACUAAUUUUUGUCUAGCUUCUCUCGCUCUGCACAACAUUUUUUGAGAUUCAUCCAUGGUGUUACAUGUAUCAGUAGUUUAUUUCCCUUUAUGACCGGGAAAUAUUACAUUUUCUGAAUAUUCUGCAGUUUAUCUAUUUUCCUAUUAAUGAACAGUUGUGUUAUUUCUAAUUUGGUAGUAGUAUGGGAUAAAGCAGCUAUAGCCACUCUGUUUUACAAACAUAUGUUUUUAUUUCUUUUGGAUAAAUAUCUAUGGGUGGAAUGCUGGCUCAUAAAGUGUAUGGUUGUUAUAGGAAACUGACAGAUUUUUUACAAAAUUAUUGGGCCGUUUUAUAUUCCCAUCAACAAUAAAUAAAAAUUCUGGUUGUUUCACCUCGUUGACAACAUCUGAUGUUGUCAGUCUUUUUAUUUUAGAUUGUUUUGCAUUUUUACUAUUCCAGUUUUUCCGUCAUCUUUUCUAUGUCUUCAAUCACUCUCUUUCUUCAGGAUUUCUUUUGUCAGCAUUCAAACAUGACGUGAUAUUUUCCUCCUUGAAGAAGAAAGCAAAACAAAAAUUUUGACCAAAUGUCUCCUUCCAGCUAUCAAAUUAUUUCUCUACUCUCGUUAAUAACUAAGCUGCUCCACAUUAUCAAUUAGCUACCUUCACUUGAUCAUUUGAAACUUCCUGACUUCUAGAUGCUAGGGCUCCUUAGCCCUUGGCCUCUCGACCUUCUUAUGUUCUAAUUAUCCACUUUCUUCCAGGAGAAUCAGGUUGACUCCUAAGACUUUCAAAUUAAUCUCUAUGCCAACAAUUCUCAAAUUUGUAUCUCUGUCCUGGACUUCCCUGAGUUUCAUGUGCCUACUUUACAUUUCCACAUGUCUAUGAUUCUGAUAUCUCAAAGUCACCAUGUCUGAUUUUGAUCUUGUGCUCUUGCAAUUAUGCUGCUCCUCCAGGAGUCUUAAUCUCUGCUAGGAUUGUGUAUUCCCUCUUC